GUGCUCUCUCCAGCAGCAUGUACACUAAAAUUGGGGUGGUACAGAGAAGAUUAGCAUGGCCCCUGCAGAAGGAUGACAGACAAAUUUGUGAAGCAUUCCAUAUUAAU
Molecule: small nuclear RNA, 107 nt
Filed under: Salvator merianae (Argentine black and white tegu)
Lineage: Eukaryota; Metazoa; Chordata; Lepidosauria; Squamata; Teiidae
Source: RNAcentral